Molecule: long non-coding RNA, 823 nt
Filed under: Phoenix dactylifera (date palm)
Lineage: Eukaryota; Viridiplantae; Streptophyta; Magnoliopsida; Arecales; Arecaceae
Description: long non-coding RNA (PDAC_LNC013897)
Source: RNAcentral
CCCUUGACUGGAACAAGCACAAUAAACAAAGGUUUUACAAAGAUUUAAAAGCUCUUAAUGAAGCGAAUAUAACAAUGAGAAAUAAUAAAACCCGGAAGAACCCUUUUAGCCGUUGGAAGCGUGGAUAAUGGUGAUUCUUCCGAUGUGGAUCGCGUUGGCUUGAAUGUGAGCUUUGAAUGCCGAGUGGGAGUGAGUAGUUGAGCACGAAAUCAGAUGGGAAAGCUUGAAUGCACUUGAUUUCUCCUCUUUAAAGCUCUAACUCCCUUGAACCUCUUUUUCUUUCUUCUCUCUUGAAUGAUCUUGUGUUGGGUUGGUGAGAAGUUGUUGGAAGACACUUAAAAGCUCCCUUUUAUAGCCCAAAAAGCAAUAGAUCCGUUAGACACAAAAAUAUGACCGUUUGAAAUUCAAAUUUACCUGAAAAAGUGUGUCAGUCGCGUUUCAGGCGCUCCGGAGACGUCUCCGCUUCGACGCGAGACGUCUCGGCUGUAUAAAAUUUCUCUUGACGGUGUUUGGAGUCGACUCGGCACUUUUACGGGGACGACUCUGAAGAAGAAUGACUUGAAUGCUUGUUCUUCUGUUUUUCUGAGAGAGUCGGCUCGGUACUUUACGGGGACGUCUCGGGAUUUUUGCGCUUUUUGCAUGGGGACGACUCCGCGACGUCGGGGACGACUCCGUAGUUGUAUCACCAAAAAACACGUCUUCGGAGACGACUCGCGCGCAUCCCUUGAAAUCGGCCUUUCUGCCGCCUCUGAGAGAGUCGACUCCGCAGAGUCAGGAGUCGACUCCGACCUUGCGAGACGCCUCGCCAGGUGCCGGGGACGUC